AUGUACACGGCUUACCAGGUGGAUGAACGGACGUUCAAGGUGUGUUCUCUCUUGGGCAUGUCGGAUUCGGAACCUAAAGACCCGGACAAGGGAAGGAACUACUUUGUGAAGACCUCGAUAAACGAAGGCGAAUACUACUACCAAUGCUGCAAAUUCGAAUGGGACGGGGUUGUGUGCUGUCACAUACUGAAAGUAAUGGAUAUGCACGUGGUAACGCGAUUGCCCCGCCAUUUCAUAUGGCAACGAUGGACUUGGGACGCUGACAAUGUGUUGGGGCCACAAACAUCAAAUGCAGUUUUGGUUGUGCAUGAUGAGAGACCAGAGGCAACCAUGGAUGCCAUGAGGCACGUUGUGUUGACCAAGAACUAUGCUGAACUAAGAGAUGAAUCAUGCAAGAGUGAUGAGACAGCGAGGGUGGCAGAAAAACACAAGAAGACCCUGAAAAGAGAGCUUGAUGAGAUCAAAAAGAGGAAGGCUGAAGAAGCCUUACACAGGUUUCCCCGGGCUCAAGUGUGCCUUCGUCCAUGA
RNAcentral lists this ribosomal RNA (528 nucleotides) under Triticum aestivum (bread wheat). RNAcentral describes it as "partial small subunit ribosomal RNA". The record is from RNAcentral. Lineage: Eukaryota; Viridiplantae; Streptophyta; Magnoliopsida; Poales; Poaceae.